GGGAACUCCGUCUCUCCCCCCCGAUGCCCCUGAAGAGAAGAACUCCUCUCUUUAUAUAGGCUGCCCACCUCUCUCUCCUCCCCUCUUUCGAAUCAAGGAUAAGGACGCAGAGAUUCUAUCCAGUUGUUGUAACAGAGAGCUGUUGGAUUUGCUCGAUUUAUGGACGUGAAGUGAUCCAAAAAUGUUGUAGAUCUGAUCCCGGAUCCUUGGAAAAGCUCUGCUUGCUGGCUUGCUGUUCUGGAAGUUGGGAAGAACACACGGAAGGAGCCGAUGCUGCUGAUCCAGAUGGUUUGGAUGCUUUGGGAGGCCGUAGAACCUGGGAUCUGGCCUUGGAAUCUUAUCCAUGGAUGCUAAGAAGCUGAUUGUGAACGGAAGUUGGACUCGGCCAACGGCUUGGGAGGAAAUCUGGGAUGAUACAGAUGACGUGGGACGUUAGAAUGUUGCCCACGGCUGAGAAGAUCUGUGUUCUAUUUCCGAAAUAGGGGAGGAUAGUUUGGUUGUUUACGGGAUGAGGAUGACUCCAUGGAAUCAAGCCGGAAUAUGUAAUUUGAGUUUAUCUCCAAUCCGAACGGGAUGAACGUGGGAUCUAGCGGAAGAAACUUGCUUGAUUCGCAGGAGGGAUAUGGCUGUGAUGUGGAGCUGGGAUGUUGGGAUCUCGGCUGAAUGCAAAGAAAACUUGGUUCCGGGAUGCAGGGGAUUCAUCCGAAUGCUAGGAUUUGAUAGAUGCUGAACGGAAUGAAAGGGAGAUGAAGAUGAGUUGGUUGUUGAGAUACUCGGAUGCCGGCGUUUGAGAGAAAGAAUGAUACGGUUGCUUUGAACCGUGAGCUGGGAUCAAUUCGAAUGCUGGGAUCCAGGGAUGAGCGUGUGAUUUCGAACGUGAGAUCGUUCCGGGAGAAGGAUCUCAUGCGGAUGGUAGCUGUUAAUAGGAUCGCUAUGAACUUGGAAAGAUGAAAUGGAUGUGGAGUUCGGGAGGAUGAGGUGGAUGUUGGGAGAUUAGUUGAGAUGAAGACACGGGAGACUUGAUGGAUACGGCUGAGAACACAUGGGAACAGGGGAUAAUGUUCACGGUUGGGAUAAUCGCGGAGGAGAUGAAGAUGGCCUGGGCUUAU
This 1109-nucleotide long non-coding RNA is filed under the name Phoenix dactylifera (date palm). Its description in RNAcentral is "long non-coding RNA (PDAC_LNC011649)". Lineage: Eukaryota; Viridiplantae; Streptophyta; Magnoliopsida; Arecales; Arecaceae. The record is from RNAcentral.